GCUCCUCCCUCUUUCCUUCUUUUUUUUUACCCUAAUCCCAGCUUUAAGGCCGGGUAGGGGUUAUUCGGCCCUCCCGGUGGUCUAAUGACCGGGUUAACCGGGGAAAUUAGGGGUUCCGAUUUCCGGAGGAGGGGACCCCUGAAGAAAACGGGCUUCCCACAUUUUAAGGUAUUUUAGGGGGUGGGGAAAAAUCCCCCCAAUUUUUUUAAAAGGGGGGGGGGAUACAAGAAAUACCAAUACAGGGCCUACCGUUCUGGUAAUUGGAAUGAGUGAAGUAUAAACCCCUUUACGAGUAUCAAUUGGAGGGCAAGUCUGGUGCCAGCAGCCGCGGUAAUUCCAGCUCCAAUAGCGUAUAUUAAAGUUGUGGCAGUUAAAAAGCUGGUAGUUGGAUUUCUGUGGUAUAAUUUAUAAUAUUACCAAGGUAAUUAUUAUAUUAUCAACAUCCUUCCUAUUAUAUUCUAAAUAUAUAGGAAAUUUUACUUUGAGAAAAUUAGAGUGCUUAAAGCAGGCAACUGCCUUGAAUACUCCAGCAUGGAAUAAUAAGUAAGGACUUUUGUCUUUCUUAUUGGUUCUAGGACAAAAGUAAUGGUUAAUAGGGACAGUUGGGGGCAUUCGUAUUUAACAGCCAGAGGUGAAAUUCUUAGAUUUGUUAAAGACGAACUACUGCGAAAGCAUUUGCCAAGGAUGUUUUCAUUAAUCAAGAACGAAAGUUAGGGGAUCGAAGACGAUCAGAUACCGUCGUAGUCUACCAUAAGCAUGCCGCAAGG
This 767-nucleotide ribosomal RNA is filed under the name Cryptosporidium andersoni. Its description in RNAcentral is "partial small subunit ribosomal RNA". It matches the Rfam family "Eukaryotic small subunit ribosomal RNA", at positions 281 to 1049 of the family's 1831-position model. Lineage: Eukaryota; Apicomplexa; Conoidasida; Eucoccidiorida; Cryptosporidiidae. The record is from RNAcentral.